UACUCCGGAACCCGGACGGCGUGGGCGC
RNAcentral lists this small RNA (28 nucleotides) under Bombyx mori (domestic silkworm). Its description in RNAcentral is "ovarian small RNA-21373". The record is from RNAcentral. Lineage: Eukaryota; Metazoa; Arthropoda; Insecta; Lepidoptera; Bombycidae.